AUUGAACGCUGGCGGCAUGCCUUACACAUGCAAGUCGAGCGGCAGCACGGGUGCUUGCCCCUGGUGGCGAGUGGCGAACGGGUGAGUAAUACAUCGGAACAUGUCCUGUAGUGGGGGAUAGCCCGGCGAAAGCCGGAUUAAUACCGCAUACGAUCUACGGAUGAAAGCGGGGGACCUUCGGGCCUCGCGCUAUAGGGUUGGCCGAUGGCUGAUUAGCUAGUUGGUGGGGUAAAGGCCUACCAAGGCGACGAUCAGUAGCUGGUCUGAGAGGACGACCAGCCACACUGGGACUGAGACACGGCCCAGACUCCUACGGGAGGCAGCAGUGGGGAAUUUUGGACAAUGGGCGAAAGCCUGAUCCAGCAAUGCCGCGUGUGUGAAGAAGGCCUUCGGGUUGUAAAGCACUUUUGUCCGGAAAGAAAUCCUUGGCUCUAAUACAGUCGGGGGAUGACGGUACCGGAAGAAUAAGCACCGGCUAACUACGUG
This 486-nucleotide ribosomal RNA is filed under the name uncultured bacterium. Its description in RNAcentral is "partial 16S ribosomal RNA". It matches the Rfam family "Bacterial small subunit ribosomal RNA", at positions 30 to 507 of the family's 1533-position model. The record is from RNAcentral.